CCACACUUUCGUUCUCAGACAAGUCCAAGCCCACUUCAGGCCCAGGGAAGUGCUACCUCAUUCUUUUACUUUGAGCAAAGAGGGCGGCUGGCGCCUUGUUCCGUGCUGAGGAUUCAGCUCACUCAAGAUGUCUGAUGCCCUCGUGAAAGCUUCUGGCUGUCAGCGCUCAUAGACCAUCUGCUUGGAUUGCCCUGAACCCCUCCUUCAGGGCACAGAACCUGGCAAUAAUGUGUCCCAUUUGGCAGCCUGUGUGACAUCUCUUAUUGUAUUAGGUGACUCAAAUAAUGAUCAUGCCUGUUGACACUUAGAGCUUCCGAAGGGAAUUCUGAGUAGCAAUGGAAAGGCGAAGCAGAAGUCAAGGACACUUGUGCCAACACCACCCGUAUAGCUGGUCAUUAAGCCAUUGCUGAAAAUAGCAAUAAAACAGGUUCUGUGGAUCCAACUGUGGAUUGAAUCUAGUGUGGCAAAUAGGAAACCCAGAGUGAGGGGUUUGGUUUCCAGAUAAAUAAAUGAUAUAACUCU
Molecule: long non-coding RNA, 522 nt
Filed under: Lynx pardinus (Iberian lynx)
Lineage: Eukaryota; Metazoa; Chordata; Mammalia; Carnivora; Felidae
Source: RNAcentral